AUACGGAGGGUGCAAGCGUUAAUCGGAAUUACUGGGCGUAAAGCGUACGUAGGCGGUUCGUUAAGUUAGAUGUGAAAGCCCCGGGCUUAACCUGGGAACUGCAUUUAAAACUGGCGGACCAGAGUUGAGUAGAGGGGAGUGGAAUUUCAGGUGUAGCGGUGAAUGCGUAGAGAUCUGAAGGAACACCAGUGGCGAAGGCGACUCCCUGGACUCGAACUGACGCUGAGGUACGAAAGCGUGGGUAGCAAACGGGAUUAGAAACCCUAGUAGUCC
This 273-nucleotide ribosomal RNA is filed under the name uncultured bacterium. RNAcentral describes it as "partial 16S ribosomal RNA". It matches the Rfam family "Bacterial small subunit ribosomal RNA", at positions 523 to 796 of the family's 1533-position model. The record is from RNAcentral.